Molecule: long non-coding RNA, 447 nt
Filed under: Zea mays
Lineage: Eukaryota; Viridiplantae; Streptophyta; Magnoliopsida; Poales; Poaceae
Description: long non-coding RNA (ZMAY_LNC001139)
Source: RNAcentral
GACUAGGAGAAUGUUUGAGCUCUUAGCUAACUUCACUUGCUAUCUGUAAACUGAGACGUGCUAGAACGAUUAACUAGCGCGCGCAUGAUUGUUUACUGAAUUUGUCGUCACCCAGGCAUUGACUUCUGCAUUGUUCCCUGAAACCUGCAGAUGACGAGCGUCAAACAUUAGGUGAACCCUGGAAACCUUCUGUUACAAAGCCAACAGAGGUGGGCAUGCAGUCCAAGAACAAUAAGCUCGCUAAUGUCGUGAGCCUGCUUCAGAAGCUCCAGCAGCUUAGCGUGAGCAAGGAUGAGGACGCACCUCCGGUCGACCAUAUGGCUUUCCUGUGCGAGACAGAAAGCCCGGACCACCGUUACGUGUCUGAGAUACUGCUGGCCUCGGGUCUUCUGAUGAAAGAGCUAGGUUCAGGACAGGCAGGCCUCCAGCUCCAGCUCCACUCCUCUG